This 484-nucleotide ribosomal RNA is filed under the name uncultured bacterium. RNAcentral's name for it is "partial 16S ribosomal RNA". It matches the Rfam family "Bacterial small subunit ribosomal RNA", at positions 30 to 507 of the family's 1533-position model. The record is from RNAcentral.
AUUGAACGCUGGCGGCAGGCCUAACACAUGCAAGUCGAGCGGAUGAAGGGAGCUUGCUCCUGGAUUCAGCGGCGGACGGGUGAGUAAUGCCUAGGAAUCUGCCUGGUAGUGGGGGAUAACGUCCGGAAACGGGCGCUAAUACCGCAUACGUCCUGAGGGAGAAAGUGGGGGAUCUUCGGACCUCACGCUAUCAGAUGAGCCUAGGUCGGAUUAGCUAGUUGGUGGGGUAAAGGCCUACCAAGGCGACGAUCCGUAACUGGUCUGAGAGGAUGAUCAGUCACACUGGAACUGAGACACGGUCCAGACUCCUACGGGAGGCAGCAGUGGGGAAUAUUGGACAAUGGGCGAGAGCCUGAUCCAGCCAUGCCGCGUGUGUGAAGAAGGUCUUCGGAUUGUAAAGCACUUUAAGUUGGGAGGAAGGGCAGUAAGUUAAUACCUUGCUGUUUUGACGUUACCAACAGAAUAAGCACCGGCUAACCUCGUG